NNNUGUGUGUCCCUCCCGAAGCUGUGCACUCGGUCCAAGAGGACGACCAUCCCCAUAGAGGAGGACUCGUCUUCAGUCAAGGGUACACGAGUGCUGCACUCCCCUGCUAGAACCUCCAAAGAAGCUCUCAACAUGCACUGUGUGACCUUACUAUAAUAUCCUCCAGUUCCAUCCCAAGGAUUUCACUCUUUUUUAUGGCCGAGUAGAAUUCCAUG
This is a non-coding RNA of Pongo abelii (Sumatran orangutan), 215 nucleotides long. Lineage: Eukaryota; Metazoa; Chordata; Mammalia; Primates; Hominidae. The record is from Rfam.